AAUCUGGGGUCCCCGACCUCCGAGUUGUAAUUUGGAGAGGCAUCUUCGGGGGGGAGCGCCGGCCCAUGUUCCUUGGAACAGGACGUCGCAGAGGGUGAGAAUCCCGUGCCAGGCCGGCUGCCUCCUCCCGGGUGAAGGGCCUUCGACGAGUCGAGUUGUUUGGGAAUGCAGCUCCAAGUGGGUGGUAAAUUUCAUCUAAAGCUAAAUACCGGCGGGAGACCGAUAGCGCACAAGUAGAGUGAUCGAAAGAUGAAAAGCACUUUGAAAAUAGAGUCAAAAAGUACGUGAAAUUGUUGAAAGGGAAGCGCUUGAGACCAGACUCGGGCCCCGGCAAACACCGCGCCCCCAGGGGCCGUGCAAUUGCCGGGGGCUGGGCCAGCAUCAGUCGGCGUGGCGGGACAAAGGCGCGGGGAAUGUGGCUCCCCUCGGGGAGUGUUAUCAGGCCCGCGCUCAAUGCCGCCGACGCCGACUGAGGACCGCGCCUCGGCUAGGAUGCUGGCUUAAUGGCCUUCAGCGACCCGUCUUGAAACACGGA
Molecule: ribosomal RNA, 535 nt
Filed under: Helvella corbierei
Lineage: Eukaryota; Fungi; Ascomycota; Pezizomycetes; Pezizales; Helvellaceae
Description: eukaryotic LSU rRNA
Rfam family: Eukaryotic large subunit ribosomal RNA
Source: RNAcentral